GACGUAGGGCGCGAGCGUUGUUCGGAUUUACUGGGCGUAAAGCGCGUGUAGGCGGCCUUGCAAGUCGGAUGUGAAAGCCCACGGCUCAACCGUGGAAGUGCAUCCGAAACUGCAUAGCUUGAGUCUCGGAGAGGAAGGUGGAAUGCUUGGUGUAGAGGUGAAAUUCGUAGAUAUCAAGCAGAACACCUGCGGCGAAGGCGGCCUUCUGGACGAUGACUGACGCUGAGACGCGAAAGCGUGGGGAGCAAACAGG
Molecule: ribosomal RNA, 253 nt
Filed under: uncultured bacterium
Lineage: Bacteria
Description: partial 16S ribosomal RNA
Rfam family: Bacterial small subunit ribosomal RNA
Source: RNAcentral